This 72-nucleotide transfer RNA is filed under the name Dipodomys ordii (Ord's kangaroo rat). It matches the Rfam family "tRNA". From Rfam's summary of the family: Transfer RNA (tRNA) molecules are approximately 80 nucleotides in length. Their secondary structure includes four short double-helical elements and three loops (D, anti-codon, and T loops). The record is from Rfam by way of RNAcentral. Lineage: Eukaryota; Metazoa; Chordata; Mammalia; Rodentia; Heteromyidae.
GGAGACAUGGCUUAGUGGUAGAGCACCUGCUUUGCAAACAAAAGGCUCUAAGUUCAAAUCCUAAUUCCACCU